This 6688-nucleotide long non-coding RNA is filed under the name Brachypodium distachyon (stiff brome). Its description in RNAcentral is "long non-coding RNA (BDIS_LNC004077)". Lineage: Eukaryota; Viridiplantae; Streptophyta; Magnoliopsida; Poales; Poaceae. The record is from RNAcentral.
GAUACCAUGAGUGCAGUAGCAGGCUAGCAGUUCAUGGCUCGUGAUCGUGAGGCGUAGUUUAGCCGACAGAGCUGGAAAGGAAAGGAAAGGAAUUAGUGAGUUGUAGUAGCGGCGAGUGGUUGCCCACACGGUCGAGUACUACACUGCUCUCAGUCCACUUUAGGCGUCAACUUUUCGGCAAACAUCAUUUCCGUUUCUAGAUUCAGUACGGGAGCCGCUAAUGAGAAAAGGCAGUGCAAUAAUCAUCUUCACAAUUCGCUCGAGUAGAGUACGUGCGAUGGGUUCUGAUAGAAAUGAGGGGUGCAUGGCAGCUGGCAAAGGCGACGGGUUUCGGCGUUUAGAACAUGUCCUCGUGCCCGGAUUUAUUAGCCCUACAGCGUCCACGUCCCCCUGUUUGUAAUCCACAUCGCUUACCAAUAAGAACCUAAAUUGCAGUUCCAACAGUCAGCGCGGAACACAUCGCAGCCUCGGCACGUACGUACGAUCAUGUUUGGAAUUUACCCUGCACGGCGAGAAGAACAAUCCCGAUCGCCCGUCCCCAUCAAAAUCACAAUCCCCAAUUCGAUCGGUAGAUUCGGGCAGAUGCCAUUUCCGGACCCAACCUGCCCCCUGACCAACGAGUAAUAAAUACUCUAAAAAAGAAUGGCCGCCCGUCUGAUCCGAAACACGAGCACGAGGAAGAAGCAAGAGGCUUUUAAUUAGGGAAGUGCCGUGCACCACGCAAAGACAAAAGCAGGAGUUACACAAAUCGGACGACAAACCACCGACCCGGACGACGAGACGAGCAGCAGGCGAGGCGAGUGAUAUCACUGACAUGGCACCCACUCACGCGCCAAAAAACAAAACCCGGAAGGAUAAUCCGAUCGUCGGACGGAUCACCUCGCACCUACCAGUGAGUCAUCACCAACCAGCAACGAGGUCGAAAUAAGUCGAGACUUCUUUCCCGAAAAGGCUCAAAUUCAAACCCUUCGCGCUCGAUCGAUAUCGCGUCGGCGCUGGUCCAGCUUCAGAACGCGUCGAACCCAUGCGCCGGUUGAAUGGUAAAGAAGAAGAAGUUGGUGGUACUCCAGCUGAGAAGGACGUCGCGGUUGUUGGACUCUGUAAAAGCUUUGGCCGAUUCCGGGGGCUUUCCGGUCGCCGGUGGACGUCGGUCGGUUGCUUGGACUGCGCACAAGUACAGUUCCUUGCUGAUGACCCCGACGUCUCCUGGUUUGAGUGCGGAGUUCUCCCGUGGAGAAAGAGGAAAGACGUGCUAGUACGGGUGCCCUGUUGCUGCGACGGGGACAAGUCAAAGUGCCUUCCGCUAGCGACACAUCAUCGUUCCUCGCAAAAACUUGCCCGCUGUCCCGAAUUCAAUCUCCGGAGAUGUUUGUUCGCGUGAUCGCGCCCUGGUUAAGUUCGAACACACGAGACCGCGCUACCAGCGCGUCGUGGCCCAUCUUCCAUACCAUGCGUUGCCGAAGGCUUGUUAAUGCACCACUACGGCUGCUGCAGCUGCUGCUGCUACUGGAUUGGGAAGUCUAGCACUGCUAGCAACAAACACUCCUGAGUUCAAUAAAAAAAAACGAACAUUCCUUGAUCCAAGCCAGUUUUUGAACCGCCAAACCAAGGUUUUCUUUCACAUUCCGUCGCUCGAUUCGAUGCGGAUAAUCGCACGCACGCAGCUGCAGCCAGCCAGAAUCAGGCCGUCGCAUCGCAAGUGGGCAACAACACCACUGUUGCUGCUGCCGCCGCUGAGACGACGUGAGAUUCUAAGCAGGAAGAAGCAAUGAUUCCGUCCACUUCAUUCGGCCGUCCGGCGCCUGACGCGGCCCGGAACUCCCAAACACCACGAUGCGGAGUACUAUCCAACCGAAAACGCGCGAGUUAAUACGCAAACAACGCGCGGCGCCUGCCUACCCGUGACCCGAAACGCUCCUUUCUCCUUCCUCCCUCCCUCGCUUUGCUUCCACCACGGCUCCAUAAUAAAAGCGUUCCCCUUUUUCCGCCCCCGCCCGUUCCCCCCCCGUCGCAGGCACCCCAGAUCUCGCCCACACACCCCCAGCUUCUUGUACUUCCUACUUCCUUCAAUUCCCCACUUCUCCCCUCACCGACGAUCAACUGGCCGCCCCAAUCCGUGUUUGUUCGGCGCUCCCAAUCUCUCCCAGCUGCCGGGCGGUGGCCACAUUGACCUGCUCCGUCCCCUUCCCGCGUUGAGCGCUUCUGCGUUGGAUUGUUGGGGGGAUUACGAUCGAUAGCGGUGCCAAGUUCGUGGUUGUUUUGGCUGCGGUUUGGAUCGUGGCGCGCUGCGGAUGGGCUGCACGGGGUCGAGGCACGCGCUGCGGGGCGGGGUCAAGGGCGGCGGCGGCCGGUCGUACCGGCGGAGCGCCUCCGGACCGGCCGCCGUGCACCACCACACCGUCGCCCUCAGGUCCUCCACGCUGGGCUCGCUCAGCCUCGACCGGGACGAGGAGAUGAUCAAGUGGCGCGCCGCCGCCGACGGCGGCCGUGGCGCCGCGGCGGCGAAGGCCACGCCGCUGCCGCUCCCUCUGCCGCCGCCGCCGGCCCCGCAGCAGCAGCCGGCGAGACGUCAAAGGCAGGUGAUUGGCACGCCGACCAAGACGCCGGUCCGCGAGCCCGAGGUGAUCAACGUGUGGGAGCUCAUGGCGGGCCUCGACGACAAGGAGCAGCGCGACGGCGCCGAAGAGCACGAAGACGACCGGCACCGGGAACGGUCGCAGUCGCAGCCGGGAUCCCCGGAUUUCGACCCGGAGAUCAUCUCCGCGUUCCGGAAAGCGCUGGGCGAGGAAGUGUCCCCGCCACGAGACAAGGGCGAAGACGACGAAUGCGUGAUCAUCAGGAAGCGCGAGAUACAGAGGUUCCCGGGCAUCGUGCGCGCGCGUGUCAGCGCGUUCCAGCAGAGGAUCGACGCCAAGCUCGCCAAGAUGGCGCGCGCCACGCCGGUGCCCGCGCCGGCACCGGCGCCUCCGGAGCCGCAGCAGCUGCUGCCUCCGCCGCCGCCGGACAGCCAGCGGAAGGUGGUGCUGUACCUGACGAGCCUGCGCGGCAUCCGCAAGACGUUCGAGGACUGCUGGGCCGCCAAGUGCAUCCUGCAGGGCUACGGCGUGCGUGUCGACGAGCGCGACCUGUCGCUGCACGGCGGGUUCAAGGACGAGCUCCACGCCUCGCUCGGCGCCAAGGCGGGCAGGCUCCCGCAGGUGUUCGUCGACGGGAAGCACCUGGGCGGCGCCGACGACAUCCGCCGCCUGCACGAGGCCGGGGAGCUCUCCAGGGCGCUGGAGUGCUGCGACACGUCGCCGUCGGUCGGCGUCGCCGGGUGCGGCGGAGGCAAGGGCGGCGUCGCGCUGGAGGCGUGCUCCGGGUGCGGCGGCGUCCGGUUCGUCCCGUGCGAGGAGUGCUCCGGCAGCUGCAAGGUGUUCCUCGAGGAGCUCGACAGCUUCCGGCGAUGCCCCGAGUGCAACGAGAACGGGCUAGUGCGCUGCCCUCUCUGCUGCUUGUAACGGGAUUGGGACUUACUUCCGUAGUGUGGUUCUUUUGGAAUUUCUGAUGAGUGACCUUGUUAGUUCGGAUGAUUUGUUGUACAGAGAAGUGGAGUACACUUCUGUAGUUCUACUACGUUUUAGGACUGAUCAAGUAACAUGUUCCUGUAAUGUUCUUACUAGUAUUUCCCAGUGGGAUUGGAAUUGGAAGUGUAAGAGCAGAAACGACUGCAAUUUGAUGGACAAGGAUAGUUCUGAAUCCGUAAGAUCAGGAGCUACAACAACACUGGUACUACCACACAGUACAAGUCUUCGAAUCAUCGAAGUGCAGUGGGGUGUGGCUCUGUUCCCGUCCCGCAAUCCCUGAAACUGGCGUCCGGUCUGAUCGAUCGAUCGAUCGAUCGGCUAAUCGCGUGAUGUGCCAUCUGAACCACGGAAAUGCGUGAACCGGACGACGAAGAUGUCAGCAAGGAAGGAAGGAAGGCGAGGUGUCCCAUGUUUUGUGCCCUGGUCAAAGAUUUGCACGCCGUCGACUCUGCCUGGACAAGCUAUAGUUUGCUAGACAUCAGCGUCCUUCCAGAACAGUGAUUACCGACACACAUCACCUCUGCUUGCUGGUUCCAGUUUCCCGAAUAGCGACAGAUAAAGUUCUUUUCGAGGUAUGAAGAGGCGUCCACGUCGGCUUCGACGUGUGAAGGAGCAAGUGCCCUGGAACUGGAAGCCAUCGGCCAUGGAGGAUCAACAGAAACUGGGAUGGGCUUGCUACGCAGCAAAGUUCUGGGCUUUCUCCCAAAUUUUGCAGCUGCCUUCUGUUCGGAGGGGACUGGGGAGGGCAAAUUAUACGUCCCUCAAACAAAAAAGGAUGAGACGGAUUUCAAAACACCUAAUGUCUACGUCAAACUAUUCAUUUCUACAUAGAACUGGCUUUUUUUCCCGGAAGCCCACUGCGAUAAUAGUGUUGGGCCAAAAGUAUAUUGUCAGAUUUUUCCCGGAGGCCCGCUGUGAUAAUAGUAUUGGGCCAAAAGUACAUUCGCAGUUUUUUUCCCGGAGGCCCGCUAGCCUGUUCAAAGGGCCCAAACUUCUGUACUGGAAGUCCUGCCCAAAACCUUAUUUGUGGAUCUUCUAGAAAAAAAACUUUUGUCCCACGAAGCAGAACCACGUCAAAAGCCAAAAGGCCUAAAAGCUCUAGCGGCAGGGCGGCCAUCAUCCGAAGACGGACUCGUCUAGUGCCUGAACACCCAUAUUGGGUUACUAAUAAAUAAAUGUGACUAGUUAUUGGUCGGGUGCGGAUACCAUGAGAAAAAUGAGAUGUAUUUUGAAACAGAAGGAGUACCAAAAGUGUGAGUUCCAUGCUGCAUAAUUCAGAUAGCCCCUCGAUCGAGCAGCUCGUUGAUUCGUCCCGCUCCACGCCGCCAUAAUUCGGUUAUCAAACCGAGACGCACGUAGCAAAUCCAGGCCAACCCACGCGCUCAAGAAAAAAAAAAUGCAAAUCCGGUCCAUUUCACGCGCCUAAUCAAGACGAGAUCAACAACCUGUCAAAGCGCACAUGUAAACACCAGACAGAUCGAUCGACCAGAACCUGGGCGCCCCCCAGCUCAGCUCGUGAACAGCACCUAGUAGUUUGGACGCAGAGGACGGGGAGAACCCUUUUUCGAAAGAAAAAAAGAGUAGUUGUAGCAUGUCAGCGUCAUGGAUCCGAUCGUACGUGACGUACUCCUUUUUUUAACUUCCCGAUCCAUGGCUCUAGCUUUGCUGCAACGAAAGUUACGGUUAAUCACUCGAUCUCCCGUCGAGAUCAGUUGUGCGGGUCGGGCAAUAAUAUGGGGGCAAUGAGAAGUAACACCAACAACUGGUGGCCCGCUUGCUCUCUUUUCUCUUUCUCUCGUUGCGCUGUUGUAGUACGUAGACAACGCUGACAGAGAUGGAUGUGUGUGCGUGGGAGCUAGUAAUCAUAUUUGGUGAUGGCAAAAUGUCUGCCUCGUAAUCAUGCAUUUUCUCCAUGCAUGCAUUCCAAUUAACCCGUAAACCAGUCACAAACAGCACCAGGAGGAAAAGGGGGGGAAAAGGAAAGGAAGGGAGGAAGAUAUUGCUGGCCAUCUAGAACGCUGGUUGGUACCAAGUUGUGCAACCCUCGGCUCCAAUUGUUCCCGCCAUCCAUUCAUCCUACCAUGCAACUGCAAAUGGCAGCUGUGUUAAGCAGCACGUGUAAAGACACCGGCCACCUUGUCUAUUCCUCAGUGCUGUGGCCUGUUGUGGGGGAUUGUGGAACGUUAACUGCCCCCAACAUAAUAUCCCUUUCUUAUCCCUUUCCGGCCCAGGCAGAGGAAAAGAGAGCAGGAAGGCCGAGACGUUAACUUCCAUUGAUAUUUAAAUCAUGGCAUGCAUCCUCCGAUCCUCGUCGUCGCUCCUAUGGCUAGUGGCCGGCCUCGACCGCGCGUUGCUGCAUGGCUUUGCGUAUGUUGCGAUCUCGUCUACGCCAACAGACGAUUGAGAGAGUGAAAGGCAGCUAGCCAGAGGCCGGGGAGUUAGUACGAGUCCAAAUCCAAUCCGACGCGAGCGCAGAGAGAUGAUGAUAAUCUGAUAAAUUAAAUUAAAGAAGGGGGAAGAAAAGGGGGCAACCGGCAACCGCUCGCUGUCAGGGAAAGGCUUUUUCCGGCGGUGCAAAUGUUACACACACUGAAGAUAGUGAAGGGCCGGCUUUUAAAUCUGCUCUACGUACGUACGUACGUACGCACUCCGUGUAGUACUUGCUCGCUUAAAGAACUGACCGACCAAAUGAUACAGCAGCUUUCAGUUUAUACAGGGGCCGUCCGUCGUCGUUGGGAUUUACCUUUCCGGCCUACUGUUCGACGACCAUGAUAUCGUUUCAGUUAGCUAGUAAGUAAGCAGCGGGCAACAGCUAGCGUCGCCAACAACAACAACAACAACGACAACAACAAAAACACGCGCCAUCGACAGCUGGUAAUUAAGACUCGAGCGAGCGAGAGCAAUCAGACGAACGCAUAUAUCAGACAUUUUUGUCUACGUACCGUGUUCAUUCAUUCAUUCAGCCAGGCAGGCAGGCGUUUCGUCUGGCUUUCUGUAGUACGGGGUUACUGUACGCUUGGAGAUUUUUCUUCCCAGGCGAGUGAUUGGCCCAACUGGUGAUACUAGAUAGGUAGGAAAGUAAGUUAAGUACUCGCCGCACUCCUGCUUCGAUCGAUCACCCG